This 497-nucleotide ribosomal RNA is filed under the name uncultured bacterium. Its description in RNAcentral is "partial 16S ribosomal RNA". It matches the Rfam family "Bacterial small subunit ribosomal RNA", at positions 28 to 507 of the family's 1533-position model. The record is from RNAcentral.
GAUGAACGCUGGCGGCGUGCCUAAUACAUGCAAGUCGAGCGAACGGACGAGAAGCUUGCUUCUCUGAUGUUAGCGGCGGAAGGGUGAGUAACACGUGGAUAAACUACCUAUAAGACUGGGAUAACUUCGGGAAACCGGAGCUAAUACCGGAUGAUAUUUUGAACCGCAUGGUUCAAAAGUGAAAGACGGUCUUGCUGUCACUUAUAGAUGGAUCCGCGCUGCAUUAGAUGGUUGGUAAGGUAACGGCUUACCAAGGCAACGAUGCAUAGCCGACCUGAGAGGGUGAUAGCCCACACUGGAGCGGAGACACGGUCCCGAGUCCUGCGGGAGGCACCAGUAGGGAAUCUUCCGCAGUGGGGGAGAGCCUGACGGAGCAACGCGGCGUGAGUGAUGAAGAUCUUCGGAUCGUAAAACUCUGUUAUUAGGGAAGAACAUAUGUGUAAGUAAAUGUGCACAUCUUGACGGUACCUAAUCAGAAAGCCACGGCUAACUACGUG